This 88-nucleotide unclassified non-coding RNA is filed under the name Pseudomonas sp. Z003-0.4C(8344-21). The record is from RNAcentral. Lineage: Bacteria; Pseudomonadati; Pseudomonadota; Gammaproteobacteria; Pseudomonadales; Pseudomonadaceae.
CUGUAGAGUGAGCCUGCUCGCGAUAGCGGUGUAUCAGAUACAUCUAAUUGAAUGUCACACCGCAAUCGCGAGCAGGCUCACUCCCACA